RNAcentral lists this RNase P RNA (375 nucleotides) under Candidatus Aminicenantota bacterium. RNAcentral describes it as "Candidatus Aminicenantes bacterium RNase P RNA component class A". It matches the Rfam family "Bacterial RNase P class A". Rfam says of the family: Ribonuclease P (RNase P) is a ubiquitous endoribonuclease, found in archaea, bacteria and eukarya as well as chloroplasts and mitochondria. Its best characterised activity is the generation of mature 5'-ends of tRNAs by cleaving the 5'-leader elements of precursor-tRNAs. Lineage: Bacteria; Candidatus Aminicenantota. The record is from RNAcentral.
UGGAGUGGGCGAGGCGGUUGCUCCCUUCCCCGGCGGGGAGGGGGAGGAAAGUCCGAACUCCGCAGGGCAGGAUGGUCGCUAACGGCGACUCCGGGCGAUCGGAGGAAAGUGCCACAGAGACCAGACCGCCCCGGCCGGGCCUUCGGGCCGGGCCGGAGCAAGGGUGAAACGGCGAGGUAAGAGCUCACCGGCCCCGCGGCGACGCGGGGCGCACGGCAAACCCCAUCCGGAGCAAGGCCAAAGAGACCCCGUUCGAGGACGGCCCGUCCGAAGGGGUGGGUAGGCCGCAGGACCGUCCGGGCAACCGGUCGGCCAGAUAAAUAACCGCCCCCGCCCGCGCGGGAACAGAAUUCGGCUUACGUCCCCCUCCAGCCG